UACGGAGGGUGCAAGCAUUGAUCGGAAUUACUGGGCGUAAAGGGCGCGUAGGCGGUUAGAAAAGUCAGGUGUGAAAUUCCGGAGCUCAACUUCGGAGCAGCACUUGAAACUUUCUGACUAGAGUACAGUUAGGGAAAACGGAAUUCCACGUGUAGCGGUGAAAUGCGUAGAUAUGUGGAGGAACACCGGUGGUGAAAACGGUUUUCUGGGCUGUUACUGACGCUGAGGCGCGAGAGCAAGGGGAGCAAACAGG
Molecule: ribosomal RNA, 253 nt
Filed under: uncultured bacterium
Lineage: Bacteria
Also listed under: 1 other name
Description: partial 16S ribosomal RNA
Rfam family: Bacterial small subunit ribosomal RNA
Source: RNAcentral